This 1063-nucleotide unclassified non-coding RNA is filed under the name Leishmania donovani. RNAcentral's name for it is "gene:unknown". Lineage: Eukaryota; Euglenozoa; Kinetoplastea; Trypanosomatida; Trypanosomatidae. The record is from RNAcentral.
GGACGUCGCCUCGGUGACGUCUUUCCGCGAAUCGAACCGUGCGUGUUUGGCAGGUAUCGUGAGGGCAAGAGCCCACCGAGAGCGGGAGAGUCACUGCAGCGGGGAGUGCCUGGGAUCGUGCGUGUGUGCUCGCAUUCGUGAUUCACAUACAUCGGUACGCGUUUCAACCGUUCGCCGUCUCUACUCCGACAAGGACGAGCACUCCCCCCCCCCCAACACCACCACCACGGCGCCCUCUUCUCUCCCUUUUCCUCCACAGUCGCACUCCGUACACCCCGCAUGCACGACGUACUCCCAACACCAACUACCGCAGCCCAACGCAUCUGUCUGCCCUUCCCUCCACGGCGACCUUUGCUGCCUACGUGGCGACAUAACGACACAGCAUAGAGAAGGAGCAAGAGAGGCUCCUUCAAGGCAUACAGAACCUUCAUAGACUCACAGGCAUAUCUUCACCCCCACACACCCAAUCCUUUUGUCGUCCACCACCACCACCACCCUUCGAGUGCUUCGCAUUUUCGUUUGAGGAGGGGAAGGGGAGGAGAAACGUUUUCUUAUCGACGGCAGCCGCUGCUGCUGCUGCACCUUUUCGCCUUCCCUCUUUCGCAUCGCCUCACGCGUCUUUCAUUUCUAUCAUCUCUGCUCAGGGUGGCAUCAGCGUGGGCUACGAGCGCUAGCAGCAACAUGCUCCAUCGCUGCCUGCUGCAACUGGUUAAGGCGAAGGGCUCGACACCGCGCCGACACGUGCUGCGGCGUCCGCUGCGCAGGUCUGGCAGCAGCGGAAGCGGCGCUGCAGGCUCCGCUCGUCGCAGCAGCGCACAAGCCAAGGCUUCCGGGCUCUCUGGCUCAUCGUCCGCUGGCAGCGGCAAAGGCGGCGGUGGCGGGCGGGGCCCACACAGGGGCAGCAGCACCUCCACCGACGCUAAAGUAGCGGCCGCCGCAGAAGCCGACAAGGGCGGCGCUGCCUUGCCUCUGGCCACAGAUGGUGGAUUCAACGGCGCAUCUUCGGACACCACUGCCUCAUCCUCCGCCUCCGCUCGCCGCCCUCUCUAUCGCCUCGCCACAG